Molecule: long non-coding RNA, 743 nt
Organism: Vanessa atalanta (red admiral)
Lineage: Eukaryota; Metazoa; Arthropoda; Insecta; Lepidoptera; Nymphalidae
Exons: 3
Source: RefSeq, a predicted model, not a curated record
UGUUACAGGGUGUCUUUGUGAGAGUCUAGAUAAAGUCCUAUCUUUGCCUAGAUGCACUCGGCGACUGGUAUAACCUGGCUAGAUAGAAAAGUACUUCUUGACUAUUAAAUAUGGUUAUAUAUAAAUUAUUUUAAUAUUACUUGUGUUAAUUAGUAAAUUAAAAUAUUUGUAUAUUAGUUUAGUGUUAUCGAAAAGGUACUUUUGUGAUACUGUGACGUGUUAUAAUUAUUGUUGCAUUUACUUGUGUUUUGAAUGUGUUAUUAAAUUUAUAUCUAUAAUAAUGUGUGCAAAACUAUGAAUUAUGCACUAAAAUGGAUUCUUUCCGUAAUUUGGGUUGUGGCGUAAUGACUUGCAUUUGAUAGAAAAAAGCAGAGUGAAAUAGAACCCAAUCUCAAGCAAUGGGUGUCUUAAGAUUUUGUUCACCACAAUCAUCAAUCAGCCAUCUUCGAUCCACCAGCCAAAUAAAUAAAAGAUUAAAUAAAACGUAUGGUGACGGGGAUUCAAUAUCAAAAUCAAAAUAUACUUUAUCCAAGAAAAUGUUAUUGAGGCCUUUAAGAUGGCAUGCAUCACCUAGGCGAAGACAGUGUUGAAAAGCAAUGAAUCCAAAGGAUGUACCACCACUACUAUAAAAUACUAUAAGACAAAUUCGUUGCAUUAUCAAAACUAACAAAAUUUAUAUUUAUUCUAGCGACACCGGCUUUACAUGUGUGCAAUUUAUUAAUAUAGAAAAUUAUAGAACUUAA